This 1237-nucleotide ribosomal RNA is filed under the name metagenome. RNAcentral's name for it is "bacterial SSU rRNA". It matches the Rfam family "Bacterial small subunit ribosomal RNA", at positions 8 to 1265 of the family's 1533-position model. The record is from RNAcentral.
AGAGUUUGAUCCUGGCUCAGGACGAACGCUGGCGGCACGCUUAACACAUGCAAGUCGAACGAGAGAAGAGGAGCUUGCUUUUCUGAUCUAGUGGCGGACGGGUGAGUAACACGUGAGCAAUCUGCCUUUCAGAGGGGGAUACCGAUUGGAAACGAUCGUUAAUACCGCAUAACAUAAUUGAACCGCAUGAUUUGAUUAUCAAAGAUUUAUCGCUGAAAGAUGAGCUCGCGUCUGAUUAGCUAGUUGGUAAGGUAACGGCUUACCAAGGCGACGAUCAGUAGCCGGACUGAGAGGUUGAUCGGCCACAUUGGGACUGAGACACGGCCCAGACUCCUACGGGAGGCAGCAGUGGGGAAUAUUGCACAAUGGAGGAAACUCUGAUGCAGCGAUGCCGCGUGAGGGAAGAAGGUUUUAGGAUUGUAAACCUCUGUCUUCAGGGACGAAAAAAGACGGUACCUGAGGAGGAAGCUCCGGCUAACUACGUGCCAGCAGCCGCGGUAAUACGUAGGGAGCGAGCGUUGUCCGGAAUUACUGGGUGUAAAGGGAGCGUAGGCGGGAUCGCAAGUCAGAUGUGAAAACUAUGGGCUUAACCCAUAAACUGCAUUUGAAACUGUGGUUCUUGAGUGAAGUAGAGGUAAGCGGAAUUCCUAGUGUAGCGGUGAAAUGCGUAGAUAUUAGGAGGAACAUCAGUGGCGAAGGCGGCUUACUGGGCUUUAACUGACGCUGAGGCUCGAAAGCGUGGGGAGCAAACAGGAUUAGAUACCCUGGUAGUCCACGCCGUAAACGAUGAUUACUAGGUGUGGGGGGACUGACCCCUUCCGUGCCGCAGCAAACGCAAUAAGUAAUCCACCUGGGGAGUACGACCGCAAGGUUGAAACUCAAAGGAAUUGACGGGGCCCGCACAAGCAGUGGAGUAUGUGGAUUAAUUCGAAGCAACGCGAAGAACCUUACCAGGUCUUGACAUCGUAUGCAUAGCUCAGAGAUGAGUGAAAUCUCUUCGGAGACAUAUAGACAGGUGGUGCAUGGUUGUCGUCAGCUCGUGUCGUGAGAUGUUGGGUUAAGUCCCGCAACGAGCGCAACCCUUACUGUUAGUUGCUACGCAAGAGCACUCUAGCAGGACUGCCGUUGACAAAACGGAGGAAGGUGGGGAUGACGUCAAAUCAUCAUGCCCCUUAUGACCUGGGCCUCACACGUACUACAAUGGCUGUCAACAGAGGGAAGCAAAGCCGCGAGGUGG